AGGUUAAGUUAAUAAGGGCGCACGGUGGAUGCCUUGGCACUAGGAGCCGACGAAGGACGUGACAAACGACGAUAUGCCUUGGGUAGCUGUAAGUAAGCGAUGAUCCAGGGAUUUCCGAAUGGGGGAACCCAACAGGUAAUACCUGUUACCUACAUCUGUUAAGGAUGUGAGGAGGAAGACGCAGUGAACUGAAACAUCUAAGUAGCUGCAGGAAGAGAAAGCAAAAGCGAUUGCCUUAGUAGCGGCGAGCGAAACGGCAGAAGGGCAAACCGAAGAGUUUACUCUUCGGGGUUGUAGGACUGCAAUGUGGACUCAAAGAUUAUAGAAGAAUGAUUUGGGAAGAUCAGCCAAAGAGAGUAAUAGCCUCGUAUUUAAAAUAGUCUUUGUACUUAGCAGUAUCCUGAGUACGGCGGGACACGUGAAAUCCCGUCGGAAUCUGGGAGGACCAUCUCCCAACCCUAAAUACUCCCUAGUGACCGAUAGUGAACCAGUACCGUGAGGGAAAGGUGAAAAGCACCCCGGGAGGGGAGUGAAAUAGAACCUGAAACCGUGUGCCUACAACAAGUUCGAGCCCGUUAAUGGGUGAGAGCGUGCCUUUUGUAGAAUGAACCGGCGAGUUACGUUAUGAUGCGAGGUUAAGUUGAAGAGACGGAGCCGUAGGGAAACCGAGUCUGAAUAGGGCGCCUUAGUAUCAUGACGUAGACCCGAAACCAUGUGACCUACCCAUGAGCAGGUUGAAGGUGCGGUAAGACGCACUGGAGGACCGAACCAGGGCACGUUGAAAAGUGCUUGGAUGACUUGUGGGUAGCGGAGAAAUUCCAAACGAACUUGGAGAUAGCUGGUUCUCUCCGAAAUAGCUUUAGGGCUAGCGUCGACAUUAGAGAUUCUUGGAGGUAGAGCACUGUUUGGGUGAGGGGUCCAUCCCGGAUUACCAAUCUCAGAUAAACUCCGAAUGCCAAUGAAUUAUGGUCGGCAGUCAGACUGCGAGUGCUAAGAUCCGUAGUCGAAAGGGAAACAGCCCAGACCACCAGCUAAGGUCCCAAAAUAAUUGUUAAGUGGAAAAGGAUGUGGGGUUGCACAGACAACUAGGAUGUUAGCUUAGAAGCAGCUAUUCAUUCAAAGAGUGCGUAAUAGCUCACUAGUCGAGUGACCCUGCGCCGAAAAUGUACCGGGGCUAAAACAAUUUACCGAAGCUGUGGAUACCUUUAUAGGUAUGGUAGGAGAGCGUUCUAUGUGUGAUGAAGGUAUACCGUGAGGAGUGCUGGAACGCAUAGAAGUGAGAAUGCCGGUAUGAGUAGCGAAAGACAGGUGAGAAUCCUGUCCACCGUAAGACUAAGGUUUCCAGGGGAAGGCUCGUCCGCCCUGGGUUAGUCGGGACCUAAGGAGAGACCGAAAGGUGUAUCCGAUGGACAACAGGUUGAUAUUCCUGUACUAGAGUAUGUAGUGAUGGAGGGACGCAGUAGGCUAACUAAAGCAGACGAUUGGAAGAGUCUGUCUAAGCAGUGAGGUGUGAAUUGAGUCAAAUGCUUAAUUCUAUAACAUUGAGCUGUGAUGGGGAGCGAAGUUUAGUAGCGAAGUUAGUGACGUCACACUGCCAAGAAAAGCUUCUAGCGUUUAAACAUACUCUACCCGUACCGCAAACCGACACAGGUAGUCGAGGCGAGUAGCCUCAGGUGAGCGAGAGAACUCUCGUUAAGGAACUCGGCAAAAUGACCCCGUAACUUCGGGAGAAGGGGUGCUGACUUUAAGUCAGCCGCAGUGAAUAGGCCCAAGCAACUGUUUAUCAAAAACACAGCUCUCUGCUAAAUCGUAAGAUGAUGUAUAGGGGGUGACGCCUGCCCGGUGCUGGAAGGUUAAGAGGAGUGCUUAGCGUAAGCGAAGGUAUGAAUUGAAGCCCCAGUAAACGGCGGCCGUAACUAUAACGGUCCUAAGGUAGCGAAAUUCCUUGUCGGGUAAGUUCCGACCCGCACGAAAGGCGUAAUGAUUUGGGCACUGUCUCAACGAGAGACUCGGUGAAAUUUUAGUACCUGUGAAGAUGCAGGUUACCCGCGACAGGACGGAAAGACCCCAUGGAGCUUUACUGCAGUUUGAUAUUGAGUGUCUGUACCACAUGUACAGGAUAGGUAGGAGUCUAAGAGAUCGGGACGCCAGUUUCGAAGGAGACGCUGUUGGGAUACUACCCUUGUGUUAUGGCCACUCUAACCCAGAUAGGUGAUCCCUAUCGGAGACAGUGUCUGACGGGCAGUUUGACUGGGGCGGUCGCCUCCUAAAAGGUAACGGAGGCGCCCAAAGGUUCCCUCAGAAUGGUUGGAAAUCAUUCGCAGAGUGUAAAGGUAUAAGGGAGCUUGACUGCGAGAGCUACAACUCGAGCAGGGACGAAAGUCGGGCUUAGUGAUCCGGUGGUUCCGUAUGGAAGGGCCAUCGCUCAACGGAUAAAAGCUACCCUGGGGAUAACAGGCUUAUCUCCCCCAAGAGUUCACAUCGACGGGGAGGUUUGGCACCUCGAUGUCGGCUCGUCGCAUCCUGGGGCUGUAGUCGGUCCCAAGGGUUGGGCUGUUCGCCCAUUAAAGCGGCACGCGAGCUGGGUUCAGAACGUCGUGAGACAGUUCGGUCCCUAUCCGUCGCGGGCGUAGGAAAUUUGAGAGGAUCUGCUCCUAGUACGAGAGGACCAGAGUGGACUUACCGCUGGUGUACCAGUUGUCUUGCCAAAGGCAUCGCUGGGUAGCUAUGUAGGGAAGGGAUAAACGCUGAAAGCAUCUAAGUGUGAAACCCACCUCAAGAUGAGAUUUCCCAUGAUUAUAUAUCAGUAAGAGCCCUGAGAGAUGAUCAGGUAGAUAGGUUAGAAGUGGAAGUGUGGCGACACAUGUAGCGGACUAAUACUAAUAGCUCGAGGACUUAUCCGAA
RNAcentral lists this ribosomal RNA (2904 nucleotides) under Streptococcus pneumoniae. Its description in RNAcentral is "bacterial LSU rRNA". It matches the Rfam family "Bacterial large subunit ribosomal RNA". The record is from RNAcentral. Lineage: Bacteria; Bacillati; Bacillota; Bacilli; Lactobacillales; Streptococcaceae.